This 226-nucleotide long non-coding RNA is filed under the name Solanum pimpinellifolium. Its description in RNAcentral is "long non-coding RNA (SPIM_LNC000217)". Lineage: Eukaryota; Viridiplantae; Streptophyta; Magnoliopsida; Solanales; Solanaceae. The record is from RNAcentral.
UCUAAUACAGACCCCAACUUCCUGGGAAAUACUUACUGUGCACCUAAAUCCAAAACUAAUUUUUAAACGUACAUGAAUGGUAGAAGUCAUUACCAUAUGAUAUGGUAAGAAUUCAAGGAAAUUUACAACCCAUGGCUGAUCUGCAGAUAUCACAGAUUGUUGCUUGAGAAAGCUGCCACGUCAAAGAAAACUUUAGAUUGCACCAUCCACACUAUAUUAAAGCUCU